RNAcentral lists this non-coding RNA (949 nucleotides) under Isopachys gyldenstolpei. Lineage: Eukaryota; Metazoa; Chordata; Lepidosauria; Squamata; Scincidae. The record is from RNAcentral.
CAAAGUUUUGGUCCUAAACUUGCCAUUGUUUUUAAUCAAAAUUAUACAUGCAAGCCUCCACCUUCCAGUGAAAAUGCCCAUUUUAUCCUAAACAGACUAUUGGAGCAGACAUCAGGCCUCAACAAACUUUUAGCCAAAGACGUCUUGCCUUUGCCACACCCCCACGGGCCCUCAGCAGUAGUUAACAUUAAAACAUAAGCGAAAGCUUGACUUAGCUAUGAUUAACACGGCCGGUAAAUUUCGUGCCAGCCGCCGCGGUUAUACGAAAGGCCAAAAACAAUGACCCCCCCGGCGUAAAGCGUGACUAGAAGUCCACAGCCCUAUUAAAGAAACAUGACCGCCAAGUCGUAAAACGCCAACGCGCACCAGAGCAACAACACAACGUCUUUAAAACUGCUGACACUUUCACCUCACUAAAACUAAGAGACAAACUGGGAUUAGAUACCCCACUAUGCUUAGUCCUAAACACAGAAGGCACCAAUACAAAGCCCUCCGCCAGAGAACUACAAGCGAAAAGCUACAAACUCUAAGGACUUGGCGGUGCUUCAAACCAACCUAGAGGAGCCUGUCCUAUAAUCGAUACCCCUCGUUUCACCUCACCUCCCCUCGCCCCCAGCCUAUAUACCGCCGUCGCCAGCCUACCCUAUGAAAGAAACAAAGUAGGCAAAACAGUUAACAACUAAUACGUCAGGUCAAGGUGUAGCACAUGGAGAGGAAGAGAUGGGCUACAUUUUAUAAACAAACACACGAAUAGCACACUGAAACCAUGCUUGAAGGAGGAUUUAGUAGUAAGAUAGUAAAGAAAAACUAACUUAAACCUGCUCUGAAGCGCGCACACACCGCCCGUCACCCUCAUCACACGUCCUAUCAUACAAAAUAUAACACAAAGACAAACAAGAUGAGGCAAGUCGUAACAUGGUAAGCGCACUGGAAAGUGCGCUUGGAAUAA